CUUCUUCUGUCUGCGAUGGGUCUUGCAUUUUUAACCUAUAUAUAUAUAUGUUUUAAGAAACACUUUUCUCAAGAUGAAAUGCGUGUCCAACUUUCGCAAUUUACGGACACGGCCUCAACAUGUUUCUUGGUUGUGUCCCAAAGUUUCCGACACACAAACGUUUCCAAAACGGGGAAAAGUUUGACCAUGCCGUUUUCAUGCUUCAGAGCUUUUAAGUAAAUGAGAAACCCAAGCUUUCUCAUUUUCAGCCAAUCAUCCAACUAACCUAGAAAUUGUCUCUUCAUUGUUCUCCUGAAAUUCCAUCGAGUUGCUUCUAAGCCAUUCUUCAACCUUACUAGUAGACCUAUUAUAUUUUGGUGAUUCUUGGAUGAAGAGCUGUAAACCAUCUUCUUCUACCAUCCUAAAACCUAAAAUAAAAAAUUCCCUAACCCUAACCCAUGUGCCAUUAUGAAAGAGGAUAUAUCAAAAAGUUUAGCCAUUAAUUACAGAUAAAACCAUUCAACUUAAUUUCUGGAAAUAUUUUCAGUGUCAAAUUAAAAACCAUAUUGGUAUAACAAGUAUUACUUAAAACUAAGCACAAUUAUUAGAGACAAUGUAUCUUCAAGGUUAGAAUCAAAUUAUGGUAUGUCCUACAGGUAGAUAAACAUUCAAUACUACCUGAUGCAUGCUACAGACAAAAG
RNAcentral lists this unclassified non-coding RNA (680 nucleotides) under Hevea brasiliensis (rubber tree). Lineage: Eukaryota; Viridiplantae; Streptophyta; Magnoliopsida; Malpighiales; Euphorbiaceae. The record is from RNAcentral.